This 660-nucleotide ribosomal RNA is filed under the name Staphylococcus aureus. Its description in RNAcentral is "partial 23S ribosomal RNA". It matches the Rfam family "Bacterial large subunit ribosomal RNA", at positions 803 to 1465 of the family's 2925-position model. The record is from RNAcentral. Lineage: Bacteria; Bacillati; Bacillota; Bacilli; Caryophanales; Staphylococcaceae.
GAUGAACUGAGGGUAGCGGAGAAAUUCCAAUCGAACCUGGAGAUAGCUGGUUCUCUCCGAAAUAGCUUUAGGGCUAGCCUCAAGUGAUGAUUAUUGGAGGUAGAGCACUGUUUGGACGAGGGGCCCCUCUCGGGUUACCGAAUUCAGACAAACUCCGAAUGCCAAUUAAUUUAACUUGGGAGUCAGAACAUGGGUGAUAAGGUCCGUGUUCGAAAGGGAAACAGCCCAGACCACCAGCUAAGGUCCCAAAAUAUAUGUUAAGUGGAAAAGGAUGUGGCGUUGCCCAGACAACUAGGAUGUUGGCUUAGAAGCAGCCAUCAUUUAAAGAGUGCGUAAUAGCUCACUAGUCGAGUGACACUGCGCCGAAAAUGUACCGGGGCUAAACAUAUUACCGAAGCUGUGGAUUGUCCUUUGGACAAUGGUAGGAGAGCGUUCUAAGGGCGUUGAAGCAUGAUCGUAAGGACAUGUGGAGCGCUUAGAAGUGAGAAUGCCGGUGUGAGUAGCGAAAGACGGGUGAGAAUCCCGUCCACCGAUUGACUAAGGUUUCCAGAGGAAGGCUCGUCCGCUCUGGGUUAGUCGGGUCCUAAGCUGAGGCCGACAGGCGUAGGCGAUGGAUAACAGGUUGAUAUUCCUGUACCACCUAUAAUCGUUUUAAUCGAU